Molecule: ribosomal RNA, 380 nt
Filed under: uncultured cyanobacterium
Lineage: Bacteria; Bacillati; Cyanobacteriota
Description: bacterial SSU rRNA
Rfam family: Bacterial small subunit ribosomal RNA
Source: RNAcentral
CGAAAGCCUGACGGAGCAAUACCGCGUGAGGGAGGAAGGCUUUUGGGUUGUAAACCUCUUUUGUUAAGGAAGAAGAAAGUGACGGUACUUAACGAAUCAGCAUCGGCUAACUCCGUGCCAGCAGCCGCGGUAAUACGGAGGAUGCAAGCGUUAUCCGGAAUCAUUGGGCGUAAAGCGUCCGCAGGUGGUUAUUCAAGUCUGCUGUUAAAGACAGAAGCUUAACUUCUGAAAGGCAGUGGAAGCUGGAGAGCUAGAGUACGGUAGGGGUUGAGGGAAUUCCCAGUGUAGCGGUGAAAUGCGUAGAUAUUGGGAAGAACACCAGUGGCGAAAGCGCUCUACUGGACUGCAACUGACACUCAGGGACGAAAGCCAGGGGAGCG